Long non-coding RNA from Cannabis sativa, 814 nucleotides. RefSeq lists it as uncharacterized. Lineage: Eukaryota; Viridiplantae; Streptophyta; Magnoliopsida; Rosales; Cannabaceae. The record is from RefSeq and is a predicted model, not a curated record. The transcript has 4 exons.
UUCUAGUUUUAAAGAAAUAACAUUGCAUGAUAUAAUAUGGCAUUAACAAGUACCAUCAUACAAUAUCAAAGGAUAGGGUGAAACCUUCUCCUCUUUUGGAUAGUUAGAAGCUAGCUGAAAUCUUUACUACUGGAACCAUACUUGGUGGUUACUUGGCAAUGAUGGCAAUUAUUUUCUUUUGGACAACAUACAAGACAGACUUCUUUGCUUGAGCAUUGGAUGUUGAUAUUAUUGGUGCCCGACUCUUAUUGGUUAUGUUUCAUGGAUCCUAAAAACUCACACUUGAGUAAUCGACCUGAUAUUAGAGAAACGGUCACAUUGGUAUUUCAAACUUACUACAGUGCGAUAAGGAAAGAAAUUCCACCGAAGCUAAAAGUUCGACGCCCAACUUGUUCACAUCAAUCGGAAGACACCGAAUGUGGAUAUUAUGUAAUGAAGAUGAUGAAAGAUUUAAUUCAAGCUUCGAAUCGGAAACACUUUUUGGCCGAGUUAAGUGAUGCAAAGUAUACAGAAGAAAAAAUUGAUGAAGUGAAAGAGCAUUGGGCAAGUGAGAUAUUAUCGGUUAUUCAAACUUACCGACGUUAGUUGUUUUUUGUUUUAAUAGGGCAAGUGAGAUGUUAUCGGUUAUUCAAACUUACCGAUGUUAGUUGUUUUUUGUUUUAAUAGAUCAAUAGUUAUUAUAUAAUUUUAUAGUUAUGGAUUUAUUAGUAUAAUGAACUAAUAUGUAAUAUUUAUUAAUUUUGUUGAUGUUAAUUAUUAUAAUGGUCUAAUUUAUAAAUUUUAUAUUUAGUCAAUUAAAAUUAUUAUUGUUAUA